UACGUAGGAGGCGAGCGUUAUCCGGAUUUACUGGGCGUAAAGGGCGCGCAGGCUGUUAUGCGAGUCUGCUGUGAAAUGUACCGGCUCAACCGGUGCCUUGCGGCGGAUACUGCAUAGCUGGAGUACUGGAGAGGGAAGUGGAAUUCCCGGUGUAGCGGUGAAAUGCGCAGAUAUCAGGAGGAACACCGGUGGCGAAGGCGGGUCUCUGGGUAGUAACUGACGCUGAGGAGCGAAAGCAUGGGUAGCGAACAGGAUUA
RNAcentral lists this ribosomal RNA (257 nucleotides) under uncultured prokaryote. RNAcentral's name for it is "partial 16S ribosomal RNA". It matches the Rfam family "Bacterial small subunit ribosomal RNA", at positions 524 to 780 of the family's 1533-position model. The record is from RNAcentral.